GGGGAUGUAGCUCAGUUGGUUAGAGCNCUUGCAUGGCAUGCAAGAGGUCAGGGGUUCGAUUCCCCUCAUCUCCA
RNAcentral lists this transfer RNA (74 nucleotides) under Treponema pallidum. RNAcentral's name for it is "tRNA-Ala". It matches the Rfam family "tRNA". From Rfam's summary of the family: Transfer RNA (tRNA) molecules are approximately 80 nucleotides in length. Lineage: Bacteria; Pseudomonadati; Spirochaetota; Spirochaetia; Treponematales; Treponemataceae. The record is from RNAcentral.